Molecule: RNA transcript, 1282 nt
Organism: Rosa chinensis
Lineage: Eukaryota; Viridiplantae; Streptophyta; Magnoliopsida; Rosales; Rosaceae
Gene name: haloacid dehalogenase-like hydrolase domain-containing protein 3
Exons: 10
Source: RefSeq, a predicted model, not a curated record
GUGUCCUGAUGAGUAACGUAAAGUUCAAGUAGGUAUUUGCGAUUUUACUCACGCAACGGUGUCCUCCUUUUCUAAUAUUAGAAAGAUCUUGGGUUUUUCAGCAAUAGUUAUAAAGUUCUUCGAAGCUUGAAAUGAAUUGGAAAAAUGGGAGCGAGACCCCUUCGCUUUGGUAAAAUGGAGGGUUGCUUGGUCAAAUGCUCUCACGGCGGCAGCGCUCUUUUGAAAACCCUUAAACCUCUUCAUCCCAAAACCCACAUUCGCUGCUUCUCUGCCCUCCGAUCGCCUCGCAGAGCCUACGACGCAUUGUUGUUGGACGCCGGAGGUACUCUCUUGCAGCUGGCCAACCCCGUCGAAGAGGUCUACGCCUCCAUAGGAACCCAAUACGGUGUGACUGCAACUCCAGCUGAAAUCAAGCAGGGUUUCAGAAGAGCCUUCUCUGCUCCUUGGCCUCAAAAGCUCCGAUACCAGGGAGAUGGGAGGCCAUUUUGGAAACUAGUUGUUUCAGAAGCCACUGGUUGUUCUGAUCUUGAUUAUUUCGAACACGUCUAUCAGUACUAUGCUAGAGGUGAUUCAUGGCGUUUACCCCAUGGAGCUUAUGAAACAAUGGUACUUCUCAAGGAUGCUGGAGUUAAGCUUGCUGUUGUAUCGAAUUUUGACUCCCGCUUAAGGAAACUACUCGAGGAGCUGAAUGUGUUGCAUCUGUUUGAUGCUGUUAUCAUAUCUUCAGAGGUUGGUUCUGAAAAACCAGAUGCAAACAUAUUUAAAGCUGCGUUAGAUCAAACUCAUGCGGAUGCUGGCAAGGCAGUACAUGUCGGUGAUGAUGAAAAUGCAGAUAAGAUUGGGGCCAAUGCUGUUGGAAUUGAUUGCUGGUUAUGGGGCAAGGAGGUGAAGACAUUCUCCGACAUUCGAAAUAGAAUUCUCAUUUCAGAGUCAUAGCUUUCAAAAGGAAUAGGUAUCACACGGAGGACAAACUUCCUGAAUCUAUGUAGUAGAAUAACCUCCAUUGCUUCAGAAGCUUCAUAUAAUAUGAUAAAUUUAAGUCGAUAGAGAAAUAAGUGACAAGGUGGCCAAAAGGAGGGUUAAUUGUUAUUCACUACUAGUCAAUAAUUGCACGAGAAAGAGCUCCACCUCUACUCCAUAUCAGAAAUCUAAAGAGUAAACAGGCAAUCACAGAAUAUGGUAAACCAUUGCUGCACGUGUCAGUAGGAGAAAUAAAACAGCGAGUGAAAAGCAGAUGAGUAUACAUGAGAACCCAUCUCAUGAGAACCCAGUUUUGUUCUUA